GGGCCCGCCAGCCGCCUCGCCCGCGGGGCGCCGUGGGCUGGGAGGGGAGCCCUGUGAGGCUCAGCCUGACGGUCACCUCACCCGGUGCCCAGGAUCUUGCCGAAGAUGUCCGUGGGGCGUUGUGUCUCCGCCCGGGAGGCUGCGGGCGGGACGCGCUGGGCACCGGGGGGAGCUGGCGGCGGCGGCGGGCCGCUGGCUUCUGCCUCCAAACCGGCUGAGUUGGACUGUGUUGAAGUAUCUGUUCCCCCUGAAGGCACCAAGUGUCUAAAUAGCUGUUCUACAAAACCCGAGGCACUGAAUCACGCUGUGAAUAAUUAUCAUAAUGCUUCCAAAACAUGAGCGGGGAGACAUGAAAGGAAGUAUGUGAUAAUUAAUUAAUAUGAUGUUGGCACUCAGUGGUUGCAUCUGGUUUUCGAAACCGCAUGAUUUGGGUACGGACCAUGCAGCCUGUUGUGUGAAUCACGCUCGACUGCAAACAGGCAGCAGCUCUUCCUACACCCCCUCUGGCAGGCAGCGGGGCUAGAGCUGCUCUGCUGUGACUGUACCCAGCCUGGCAACAGUGGGAAAAUGGCCAGACACUCUGCAAGGCCAGCAAUGCUCUUACGGAUGAGAAGGAGGGGGGCACUCCGCCAUACAGCCAAAGAAAAUAGGGAGAACAAAUAAUCCUGAGUUAAGUCUGAUGAAAACAUAUUUUAAAUUCUGGAUACUUACUUAAGUAUUUGAAUAUGCAUCAAGGAGCCAAGAUGUGACCAUAUUUUUUAAAACACUGCUGGACACUUCUGUUGCCAUAUUUGUACUUGCUAGCCUGUGAAUCCAAUCCUUCAAUUUUACCAACAAUUUGCUUGUAUUAUCCUUACUCCUAUCUCAGCACUGAAGCAGAACAACUUUCAUACUUCCCUCUUUCUCCACAAGUUCUGUUUCCUAAAGUACAUGCUUUAGUCAGACAUUUCUCCCCUUCUACCUGAUACGUGCUCUUUGUAGAGGUACACUCAUCAGUUAGCUUCACACCCAAAUUCUAAAUGGCUUUUGUCUGCUUGGUGACUAACACUGGAUCCCUCAGGCAUGCAUCCAAAAAGAAAACCCCAUACCUGAUACCAUUUUCUAACUGUGGGAUGCUGUCAUGCAUGCCUUAAAAGCUGCAUGUACUGCCUUAGCCCUUUUUUUUUCCUUCUACUUUUUUCAAGCUUAAUUCCAACUCCCCGAAGUCUGUUUGCAGAAAAUUUGAGAAGAAGCAUGAGGUGCAUUGCCUUGUCAUUCGAACAGCUGGAGGAGACGGGGAGUGAUGAGUUAAGGUGUAAGAAGACUGCUAGAUCAGUGAACUGUGCCUUCUCUAGCCCAGUUACUCCCACUGAGAAGAAAUUCAUUUAUCUGCUUACUGGUCAAGCUCUGUUUUGAAGGCCUAUGUAAAUGCUAAAGUGUCCCAUAGACUCAGGCUGACUGGAGCUUCACUUCCGUAAGGGAAUCUCACUUGUGGAAUAUAAACAUCAUUAUUUUUUGCACAUAUCUUCAUAUAUUUGCCCACAUACUUUUUCAUAUAAAUGUUGUUUUGCACUUAUCUCUUUCAACAAAUAAAUCGUAACUCUCUGUAUUCAGUUAUAUAAUGUUACUAUUAUGUAAUGCAUAUGCCUGUAGAAAUCAUAAAUGCAGUACACAAAUAGCCUAGAAUACCACACAAUGCAAUGAAUUUAGAGAUCCAAAAUUUUUAAAAAAGAACAACGUAAAAAUCCAAGAAGGAGACUUGAAUACAUACUGGUACCCUUGCAGGUUUUAUUUGCAGACGUGUUUGAUCUUAUAUUUACUAUAUUCCUUUUGUGUCACGCCAAACAAGACAUACACAACAGCUUCUAGUUCAGCAACAAUAACCAAGCAGUAAUACUAAAUAUCAUCACAUAGAAUGCCUUCUAUUGAGGAGAAAACAAUAACAGCAGACUAGAUAAAGUUAUGGAACUGACACAAGAAAUACAGGAAUAGCAGGUAAAAAUUGGAGAAUUAAUUGGCCUUCUGUUUAUUAGUUGGUUAUAUUUAUCCUAUUUGAUGCAGUUGUUGAGAUUACCAGAGAAGAAAUGCUAAUAUCUCUCCCUUCGUUUUUGAAUCCAGCAGCAGUUUUACUUCAUCUUAACCAAAAAAGUUUUGGGCUUUGGUGCCUGCAUCUCACACCUUAUUGUAUAGGAUAUGAGAGACAAGGAUCUCCUAACUCCCUGAGUUCUUUCUUUACCUGUGUGACUCUUUGGUGAAAUAGUUUAGUAUUUGCUGACAUUACUGCAAAUAAAUUUCUUCCUAACCUUUAGAAAACCUCUGUAAAUAUUUGAAAAGUAGAUAUAUAUAUAUAGGGCCAGGUUUUGUUUUGCCUGUGAUACGAAGUGUUUCAAGGAAGGACUGGAAAGGAAAAGGAAAUAAUGGUUAUUUUUUCUCUCCCGAGGUCAAGCAAGGCUUGCAGACAGGGAAACCCAACAAUUGUUGAACAUACUCGUUGUGGUACUUGAAUAGCAGGGGAAGCAGACAAAGUCAGACAGAUAGCUCCAGUUCUUUGGUACUUAUUCAUGAAUGCCAAUGGGGAUGGACCUCGGAAGGUAAUGCAGUAACUUGGGUGCCAGCCAUUGGUAGUGAGAAAGGGCAGCAUCUGUGGAAAGGCAUCUUUCCAUGGAGUGGAACUGCCUUUUCCUUAAAGGACACUAUUUAGUAAACACAACCUAGCAGUCAGUUUAACACUUACUAAACAAGGGGCUGGCUCUGAAAACUGAAGCAAGGAGCGUAUCAGUGUUGACAAGCACUCUCAGCAAGAUCAGAAGGUGAAUAAUGGUUUGCAGGUUUGACCCAUAAAUAACGAGGCUGGGCUUAUUUAUUAACACAGAGUACAAAUCUCCUUUUGGCUGCAGGACUCCUCUCUUUCGGUAUGAUUUGUAGAUGCCAGUAGGUUUUUAUAGUUUUCUUUGUUUAAAUACCGUACCUCCUUUUAUUUACAAGAGUGUGGGUAUAAGUCAUUAUUACUGUCUUCAUGACACGAACUAAAAUCUUUGUGCCUUCAUGCAAGAGAAGAUAGCUGUUUUCUAUAACCUUAUUUCUCUCUUCAGGAGCAGUUCAUAUGAAAUGGAAGUUCAAGCAAUUAUGUCAUGAUAAUUUCAGUUAUUUCUCUAAAUUAAGAUCAUAAAAUUAUAGAAACACAGAAUAAUUUCAGUUGGGAGGAACCUCUGGAGUUCAUCUGCUCUAAUCCCUGCUCAAAGCAGGGCUAAGUUAGAUGAGGUUGCUCAGGCCAUUUUCCAGUCCAGUUCAGAAUAUCUCAGUGUGAUGAAACCACAACUUUCCCUGGUAACUUGUUCCGAUGUUUGACUGCUUUCAUAAAACAAACAAAAAAUCUGUGUAUCUAAUCGCAGUCUCCCUGUUGUAAAUUUAUAUUUGUUACCUCUUAUCCUACACCUACCUCUUGAAGAAGAAUUUGGCUCUGUCUUCUCUCUGUAUUCUCAUGAGGUUAGUUGAAGACAGCAGAAAAAUCUCCCUCCCCUCACCUUAACCUUGUCAUCUCAGUGAUGAACAAGCCAAUGUCUUUGAGCUUUUUGUCAUCUGUCAUGUGCCUGAGUCAGUUUAUCAUCAUGGUCAUUUUCUGAUGGAGUAACUCCAGUAUGUCAGUGUCUUUGUAACUCUGGGGAGCCCAAAACUGGAAGCAGUACUCCCAUCUUCAGCCUCACAAGUGAUGACUAGAAAGGAUCAAUCAGUGGUUACUGAUUAUUCCUUUGAAGACUGAAACUACCUUUAAGCAAACUGUUGCCAUGAAGGGUUAAAGACGGGCCAGUUCACCCUGGCCUGAGUGACAAGGCAGUCUCUGUUCCAAAGCAAGGGACUGUUCAGGAUAGCUGAGCAUCACAAUCAGGAGAAUUUAGCCCAAAGCUUUGCUGAUGGUGCAAGAGUCUGAAUAGGUUGCAGUUUGCUUUUUCACAACAGUAUGGGCUUUGCAGUGCUGACAAAGGUGAAAUCUUUUGCUAGUAAGCAAAUGAGAGUUGGGCGCAUUAGGGACUGCUACAAACAAAGAGGAAACAUAAGCAACAUCAUUUUUCUCACAGUACUUGUUGUUAAAGUAAUAAACAACAGACUGCUAAAAGUGAUACCAAUGUGAUUUUCUGGUUAAAUGAAAAUAAAUGAUUAUUGAACCUGCUCAGAUGCGUAGAGAUAAUUCUAAAUUAUAAUAUUGUAGGUGAAAUUCUGGGAUUUUAGAAAAAGUUAGAAAGCUUAAAUUGUCCAGCUUUAUAGAGAAGAAUGGCAGAUAGCAAAAUUCUGCCUUUUGUAUAAAUGACAGCUAUGGAGAAAAAAAAUGACGUCUAUUCCUGCAUUUUUACUCUAAUUCAGAUAAGGUGUCUGUGUGAAAGUUACAGUUCAGAAAGUGAGUCUAAAUUGGUGUAACUUGUAUGUUGGGUGAAUGAACAACUGGAGAUGUUGGGCAAUACCAGAAAUAAAGAAACAAAAAAUGUUUACAAGUUUCAAGAGAAGCCAAAAUAAAGCAUUUUUUACUUAAACGUUUCUUUGUUGCCAUUUGCAGUUCCAUCCAGAUCAAUGCCUUGAGAUAGCAGGCAGUUGUGUGCAAUCUUCCAGUUUUUUAUUUAGAGAACAGUCAUAGGUCUGCUUUUAGUAGGAAACAUCUCUCUCUGAAAAACCUACAAAGAUGCUGCUGAACCCUUUGAGUGUCUACACAGAGAGAAAGCUGCCUCUGGAGCUUUUGCUUGUUAGACCUGCAAUUUUCCACUCAUGGACUGUGUACUUCAACAUGUGUUAGGGUUUCCUUGCCUAAGGUGAGAACUUCCUUGGGACCCCCUUUUUUCACGGUGGCAAGAUUUUGCAACCAGGAGAGAUAUUGACUACUGGCUUCCAAAUCUUGUUUAUUUUGGAACAGUCUCAUCAUUUUCUUUGUGCUUUAAGCACUGUCUGAAACCCUCCACUUUCAACUCAAAUCACAAAAUGAACAACCUUUGUUCAGCAUCCCAAGCUGCAAAAUGAAACUUAAACAUGAGCAUUUAUAUCACCCGCAUAAAAAAGGUGAAAUAUGCUGUAUUUCUGCUCUUUGAAUGUUUUAUGGAACAGUAUUUAUGGGUGUCGCUGUAAGCGGUAGAAGCAAAUGCAACUGCCUGAGUAUUGUACACAGAUUUUACAGUGUAUAUAGUCUGUACUGUAAGCUGUCAUUGUUCUAGGAAAUACAUAGGUUGUGAUUACAAAGUAUGGAAUAAACCUUCUCUCAUCAAAACCACAGUUUUCAAGUUUGGAAUGUCCAAAUCAAUCAUACAAACUAUAUAUAGGGAUUUUAGUGUUUGAACAUUUGAAAACACUGAUGAAACAUGUAUGUUAAUAUUCCGUUCAGUACCAUAAUAGAAUUAGGACCACUGAUUCCACCCUGAGAUGUACCAUUUCAGACCAGUAUGGUCCUGGCUUUCUGUAGGUUCUUUGCAGGUUCACUGGUUGUCCUGUGAGCAUGAGAGGAUAAA
Long non-coding RNA from Tyto alba (common barn owl), 5465 nucleotides. RefSeq lists it as uncharacterized. The record is from RefSeq and is a predicted model, not a curated record. The transcript is spliced from 3 exons. Lineage: Eukaryota; Metazoa; Chordata; Aves; Strigiformes; Tytonidae.